UCAGGAUGAACGCUGGCGGCGUGCUUAACACAUGCAAGUCGAACGGGAAAUAUUUUAUUGAAGCUUCGGUUGAUUUAAUUUAUUUCUAGUGGCGGACGGGUGAGUAACGCGUGGGUAACCUGCCUUAUACUGGGGGAUAACAGCCAGAAAUGACUGCUAAUACCGCAUAAGCGCACAGAACCGCAUGGUCCGGUGUGAAAAACUCCGGUGGUAUAAGAUGGACCCGCGUUGGAUUAGCUAGUUGGCAGGGCAGCGGCCUACCAAGGCAACGAUCCAUAGCCGGCCUGAGAGGGUGAACGGCCACAUUGGGACUGAGACACGGCCCAGACUCCUACGGGAGGCAGCAGUGGGGAAUAUUGCACAAUGGGGGAAACCCUGAUGCAGCGACGCCGCGUGAAGGAAGAAGUAUCUCGGUAUGUAAACUUCUAUCAGCAGGGAAGAUAAUGACGGUACCUGACUAAGAAGCCCCGGCUAACUACGUGCCAGCAGCCGCGGUAAUACGUAGGGGGCAAGCGUUAUCCGGAUUUACUGGGUGUAAAGGGAGCGUAGACGGCGCAGCAAGUCUGAUGUGAAAGGCAGGGGCUUAACCCCUGGACUGCAUUGGAAACUGCUGUACUUGAGUGCCGGAGGGGUAAGCGGAAUUCCUAGUGUAGCGGUGAAAUGCGUAGAUAUUAGGAGGAACACCAGUGGCGAAGGCGGCUUACUGGACGGUAACUGACGUUGAGGCUCGAAAGCGUGGGGAGCAAACAGGAUUAGAUA
RNAcentral lists this ribosomal RNA (759 nucleotides) under uncultured Lachnospiraceae bacterium. RNAcentral describes it as "bacterial SSU rRNA". It matches the Rfam family "Bacterial small subunit ribosomal RNA", at positions 24 to 784 of the family's 1533-position model. Lineage: Bacteria; Bacillati; Bacillota; Clostridia; Lachnospirales; Lachnospiraceae. The record is from RNAcentral.